RNAcentral lists this ribosomal RNA (492 nucleotides) under uncultured bacterium. RNAcentral's name for it is "partial 16S ribosomal RNA". It matches the Rfam family "Bacterial small subunit ribosomal RNA", at positions 29 to 507 of the family's 1533-position model. The record is from RNAcentral.
AGUGAACGCUGGCGGUAGGCCUAACACAUGCAAGUCGAACGGCAGCACAGUAAGAGCUUGCUCUUACGGGUGGCGAGUGGCGGACGGGUGAGGAAUACAUCGGAAUCUACUUUUUCGUGGGGGAUAACGUAGGGAAACUUACGCUAAUACCGCAUACGACCUACGGGUGAAAGCAGGGGAUCUUCGGACCUUGCGCGAUUGAUUGAGCCGAUGUCGGUUUAGCUAGUUGGCGGGGUAAAGGCCCACCAAGGCGACGAUCCGUAGCUGGUCUGAGAGGAUGAUCAGCCACACUGGAACUGAGACACGGUCCAGACUCCUACGGGAGGCAGCAGUGGGGAAUAUUGGACAAUGGGCGCAAGCCUGAUCCAGCCAUACCGCGUGGGUGAAGAAGGCCUUCGGGUUGUAAAGCCCUUUUGUUGGGAAAGAAAAGCAGCAGGUUAAUACCCCGCUGUUCUGACGGUACCCAAAGAAUAAGCACCGGCUAACUUCGUG